This 253-nucleotide ribosomal RNA is filed under the name uncultured bacterium. RNAcentral's name for it is "partial 16S ribosomal RNA". It matches the Rfam family "Bacterial small subunit ribosomal RNA", at positions 524 to 776 of the family's 1533-position model. The record is from RNAcentral.
UACGAAGGGGGCUAGCGUUGUUCGGAAUUACUGGGCGUAAAGCGUGCGCAGGCGGCUUCUCAAGUCAGGGGUGAAAGCCCAGAGCUCAACUCUGGAAUUGCCUUUGAGACUGAGUGGCUUGAGUACGAGAGAGGUGAGUGGAAUUCCCAGUGUAGAGGUGAAAUUCGUAGAUAUUGGGAAGAACACCGGUGGCGAAGGCGGUUCUCUGGGCCUGUACUGACGCUGAGGAGCGAAAGCGUGGGGAGCGAACAGG